RNA transcript from Ctenopharyngodon idella (grass carp), 4413 nucleotides. It is a transcript of the gene named PITP-less RdgB-like protein, with no coding region annotated. NCBI's taxonomy places the organism in Eukaryota, Metazoa, Chordata, Actinopteri, Cypriniformes, Xenocyprididae. The record is from RefSeq and is a predicted model, not a curated record. The transcript has 20 exons.
CAUCAUUCAUGAUGCUCGUCAUAGUGCGAGGCUCGUGUACCCUCGUCAGAGAUGCGUUCGUGUGACAGGAUAGGCUACUUUCCGAUUGAUGCGUCAUAGUAGUUUUCAGCCGUAUCAUUUUUGGCGCGAUUCUGGAGAUUUAAUUCUGACAUCGGAGACUGAUUGAAGCGUCCAGUUAAGAACAAUGGACUGCACUUUAUUGGCAUCUAUUUGGCGUAGCUGGUAACUCAUGUUAGGUCACCUGUGCGAGCAGGCAGGUGGUCUCAGAGAAUACACGUAGACAGUUAGUCGGUUUGAGAAAAGCAAUUGACUCAAAACUACCACACACGCUUACAAAGAGGGACAGGAUGGCAAAAGAGACGCGAGUGCCCUCUCGAAAACAUAGCGCCUCCCACUGGAGACUCCAGAACAUUGCCCAGGAAUCUGUUGAAAGCUCUGACGAGGAGUUUUUUGAUGCCAGGGAUGUUAUGGAGGGGAAGACGGCCUUACUCCUGGAAAUGAGCCAGUGGAACUCCAAUGACCUGGUGGAGCAGAUUGAAACACUGGGACACCUGGAGCACUCCAGAGAGAGCCUGUACAGGCUGCGGCACCCUCGAUGCGCGCCACAGAGCAGUGUGGAUGGCUUGGAAGACAUGGAGAGGAAGUGCAGGACGCAAUUACUCAUCCUGGUGAUUCAUGGAGGUCAUAUCUUGGAUUCUGGAGGUGGCGACCCUGGAGGGAAGGCGGGUGAUGCUGCCACUCUGGCGUCCGUGUUGGAGCGUGUGGCUCGGGCGCACUUCCAAGCAGCAGCAGACAGCAUGCUGGUCAGACUGGUACCCUGCCCGCCUGUGUGUGCUGAUGCCUUCUCCCUGGUUUCAAAUUUGAAUCCAUACAGCUACGAUGAAACCUGUGUGUCCAGCAGUGUGGAUCAUUUGCCGCUGGCCGCUCUUCCCAUCCUUGCUAUCGCUGCUCCUCUUUACCAGAAUGCUGUAGCAGCAGUCAUUGCUCAGGCCAAUCAGGUUUACCGAAACUUUCUUCAGUCCCCAGAGGGUGUGGGCUUCACAGGACAGGUGUGCCUGGUUGCAGACUGUGUUGGUGGUGUCCUUUGUUUUGACGCCUUGUGUUUCAGUGGUGAUGAGCAACACAGAAGCCCUGAGGGUGGCAGCACGAACAACAGUACAGAGAGUCUAAGGGAGAAGCCAUGUGCGGUGAACUCCCUGAGCCCCACUCUCCGAGGCAGCAAGCGCCUGAGUAAGAGCAACAUUGAUGUGUCAACCCCGUGUGAUGUGCUGUCUGGAGUCCGCCAUCCACUCAUCCGUAAGCAAAGUGACUCGUGUGAUGCAGACGUGGCCAGUGGUCAGCGUGAGGUCUUUAUCAGCAGUUUGUCUCAGGAUGAUCAGUGUGGCUCCAGGCAGGCCCUCAAUCCAGGCUGCUUUGAGUUUGAAGUGUCAGACUGCUUUCUGCUGGGAUGCCCACUGGGUCUGGUGCUAGCCAUGAGAAGAACUGUGUUACCUGCCGUUGAUGUGGCUCAGCUCCGGCCAGCUUGUUCUCAGAUUUUUAAUAUGUUCUACCCUUCGGACCCCUCUGCCUCACGUCUGGAACCUUUGCUGCACCCAGUUCUCACCCACCUGCCCCCUUUUCCUGUUUCCCGUUACCAGCGGUACCCUCUGGGUGAUGGCCGCUCAACUCUCAUUGUGGACACCAUGCUCAGACACUUGUCAGACAGCAGUUUAUCUGUAGACGGACCCACAGAGCAGUGCUGUGGAGGAAGUGUGUCUCGCAGGGGCAGCGAUCGAGUUGUUCCACUCAGACUCGCCCACUGUGCCACUGACGCCGAAGGGUCUAAAACUGCCCCGAGCGAGCCUGUUAGCAUCUCACACAUAUGUAGUAGGUGGUGGGGGUCGAAGCGGUUAGAUUACGUGCUAUACUGUCCAGAUGUGCUCACCACCUUUCCCACUAUUGCACUGCCUCACCUGUUCCACACUUCAUACUGGGAGUCCACAGAUGCUGUGGCUUUUAUUCUUAGACAGGUAAUGCGGUGUGACUGUCUGAAGGCUGGGGAGGCUGAUUGUUCAGACGCUAUUCCCAUCUCUCCAUCCAGCCCCCGUGAGAAGUGGCUUCGCAGGCGGACGCAUGUCAAACUACGGAAUGUAACGGCAAAUCACAGAGUUCAUGAUGUCAUCGUGACAGAGGAUGGUCCGCAGAUGCUGGUGGGGCGAUUUAUGUAUGGCCCUCUUGACAUGGUGACCCUAACAGGAGAGAAGGUGGAUGUGUUUUUAAAGACCCAGCCUGCCUCUGGCCGUUGGGUGCUGUUUGACACUGUGGUGACCAGCAGCAGCGGACGCGUUUCCUACACCAUCCCUGAUAAUAAAAGACUUGGGGUGGGUGUUUACCCUAUCAAAAUGGUGGUCAAAGGUGAUCAGACGAGUGCAGAAGCAUUCCUCACAGUGUUGCCACGGGGAAUGGAGUGUGUAGUGUUUAGUAUUGAUGGCUCCUUUGCUGCCAGUGUCUCCCUUAUGGGCAGUGAUCCCAAAGUCCGCCCUGGAGCUGUGGAUGUGGUCAGACAUUGGCAGGAUCUUGGGUAUCUGAUCAUCUACAUUACUGGCCGUCCUGACAUGCAGAAGCAGAGGGUGGUUUCCUGGCUCUCUCAGCACAACUUCCCUCAGGGCAUGGUCUUCUUCUCGGAAGGACUCGUUCAUGACCCCUUACGUCAGAAAACCAUUUUUCUAAAGAGUCUUGUGAAAGAGUGUCACAUUAAGAUCAGUGCAGCAUAUGGCUCUAUGAAGGACAUGUCUGUGUACAGCACAUUGGGACUUGCACCUAAUCAGAUAUACAUUGUGGGCAGGCCAUCCAAGAAACAUCAGCACCAGUGCCAGUUUUUGAGUGAAGGCUACGCAGCUCACCUCUCCACUCUUGAAUUUGAGCACGGCUCACGCUCCAAAAAGAACCGCAUGGUGCUUCGUCAGGGAUCUUUUGGCCUUUCAUCCAAAACAGACUUCCUGUCUCCAUCCCCGGACUUCCUGUCCUGCAAGCGCACUCCACUGCUACGUCGAGCCAUGUCUGUUCAGCAGCCGUCUCCACCCUCAUCAUCUGUCUCCACCCCCAAACCUGAGCGUGCUCAGAGCCAGCCUGAAUCUCAUAAAGAUGGACCAGAGAUUCGUAUCCAGACCGAUGAUCAAGAGGAACAGGAGGAGGAAGAAGAAGGGAGAUUACAGGAUGUUGUACUAUAAAGGAACUCCAUGAGUUGUGUGGAAAAGGUGUGUUGAGGAACCACAUCCUAUCUAAUACACACAUACAGACAAAUUUAAUUAUCAAACACAUCAAGAUCUCAUCUCAAACCAGAACUGCUCAACUAUAGAUGGGCUCCAUGGUAGACAAGAACGGCUUUGUGAGUGAGCUGUGAGGAAAUUCUCUCCAAAACAACAAUCCCACCGUACUGAGACAAGCAACAUUAAAAUGUAUGCUGUUAGAAACAGCCCUAGAACAGAUGCGAAGAUUGGUCACUGAACACUUUAACAAACCCCAUGUGACUUACAGAAGACUGAAAGAAAGAGGAACAUGGAAGUGUCAUAAUUGAGACAAGGACAGAAGUAUGAUAGAGAGUAGCUAUAGAAAGUAGUGUCAGGGUCAUCUUUUAUUGAGUUUUCUGCUUUGCCGGGAGACUUGUUUUAUGUGUGGUGAAUAUUUUCUGCAGACUCCUGUAAUGGUCUUUGUGAAGGUAACCAUGCACAUGAGCACCUGAACCGCAUCUAUUUAUAGCAGUCCUGCAACCUGAGGCAUUGUGUUCUUUAUGACUCUUUGGUGACCCACACAUUUCUCAGAAGCCCCUCUGUUUUCUUGUGUUUUAAUCAGCCGUAAAGUAAAAGGAGCUUAGAAGAAAAAUGGAUGUCUCCAGGAGAAUUCCAAAUGCCAUGUUUUAUACAUAGUUUUUUGGACUCCUGCCUGCAUGUUUUGCUGAACCCAGAUUCUUUUUGUCAAAAUGUUGCUUUAUACUCAUGCAUUAUGUAAAGACUAUAGUUCUAAUGUUCAUCUAGGGUGCAGUAUGUUCUAAUAGAUCAUGUGCUGACAGAGUCUUUAAAACGUCCUGCUGUGGUUUGAUAUCUGUGACUUUUUCAGAGAGAAUCUGUUCUGUGAAUUUGGCUGUACUGCACAAAACUGUAUAUAAUUGUAUAAUUGUAUUUCAUAGACAGUGUUAUUGGAUGUUAUAAAACUGUAUUUAUCUGUUGAAAUGUGUUGACAACUUAUUUCAGAACGUAAAGCACUAAAGGAUUAGUUCACUUUCAAAUAAAGAUUUCCUGAUAAUUUAUUCUUAACAAAUGAAACCUUAUUGUAAAGUGUUACCAGAAUUAUUGAUCUAAAAACUGAAAAUUGAGAUUAAAGGAUUAGUCCACUUUCAAAUAAAAAUUUCCUGAUAAUUUACUCACCUCCAUGUCA